UUUUAAAGAGGGUGAAUGAGUUCUUUCUAGAUGUAAAUGUGAUAUGUGCAGCAACAUGAGAACACACUCCAUAUUCUGAAAAUACAAUGCACUUUUCAGUUUCUAAGGACAUUGCUAAGUUGCAAAACAAAACAAACACUUUGUGUUUCCAGAAAGCAGAGGUUCAGGGGUAGAGGGUGGAGCAGUGGCAGGACUUGAAGAUAUAAACUACCUUAAUAGCCUCUAAAUUUAUGUUUCCACUCCUACUUCUCAUUUCCCAUGUCCUUCUGCUCA
Molecule: long non-coding RNA, 273 nt
Filed under: Pan troglodytes (chimpanzee)
Lineage: Eukaryota; Metazoa; Chordata; Mammalia; Primates; Hominidae
Description: long non-coding RNA NONPTRT012666
Source: RNAcentral